This 935-nucleotide long non-coding RNA is filed under the name Carica papaya (papaya). Its description in RNAcentral is "long non-coding RNA (CPAP_LNC012104)". Lineage: Eukaryota; Viridiplantae; Streptophyta; Magnoliopsida; Brassicales; Caricaceae. The record is from RNAcentral.
AAAUGAAGGUAGAAAAAUCAGUUGCUCCCUAACUAACAAAGAAGAGCAAAAGCGCUGAAGUAUGGUCCUCAUAACAUCAAAUCCUGAAGCCAAAUUCAAACAGAUACGAUAAAGAAAAUAAUCAAAUUCAAAGCCCUGAAUAAAUUAAAACUUAAGAAAAACCAAUAAAACCCACAAGUAGCAAUCAAUCAAGAAGAGAAAAAUCUAACACAACAGAUAAUCUGUGAUGAAUUGACUCGGACACCAAUCAACAAAAGUAAUCAAGCAUGGAAUUCAAAGACCUACCUGAUGAAUCACGAGCUCCUCCUUAAAAAAGAGAAGAAGGUAAAAAUAAAAAAAUAAAAAAAAAAAAUCCCCGCAAAAUGGAUAGUGAAAGGACGAGGAAGGAUGACUGUUUUUCCCCUUUUCCAGUUUUUUUACAGAGGGAAACGGAAACCGCAGUGAAAAAGCAAAGUCUGCGUAGUGCUUUGAAAAUCCAAGACUUAAUUUAAUACGGGGAGAAGCUAAAGAAAAGGAAUGUAAAAGGAUUAGGGGUUCAUGUGUGAAUCCGAGAUUCACAUGGAAGGAAGACGAAUUAGAGUAAGUCAAAUGAAGAGGCCAGAAUUAGGGGACGACGACUAGACUGCAAUAUGUAAGAGGGCAGGGGACUUUUUGAGUAGUUGCUUGACUGGCUUUUUGGAGGGGAGAAAGUGAAAUUCAUAUUUUAAUUGUUGAGAAAGGAGUUUGUUCGAUUACCUUUGAAAAACACACAGUUUGAUGAAAUUGUGACUUCAAUGCCGUCCAUGUCGUGCCAAUCUUAAGCUGAAAUCUCCCGCUCUCACUGUGUAUUUGCUUUUUAUUUUCUUUUUCUUUUUCUCGAGAAAAAUAUCCGCGAAAGAAAAUGUUUACAUGUCGUUUAGAUUUAACUUUUAUCCUUAAAACUUUUCUUUACGGUA